GACGAACGCUGGCGGCGUGCUUAACACAUGCAAGUCGAACGGAAAGGCCCUGCUUUUGUGGGGUGCUCGAGUGGCGAACGGGUGAGUAACACGUGAGUAACCUGCCCUUGAUUUUGGGAUAACUUCAGGAAACUGGGGCUAAUACCGGAUAGGAGCUCCUGCUGCAUGGUGGGGGUUGGAAAGUUUCGGCGGUUGGGGAUGGACUCGCGGCUUAUCAGCUUGUUGGUGGGGUAGUGGCUUACCAAGGCUUUGACGGGUAGCCGGCCUGAGAGGGUGACCGGCCACAUUGGGACUGAGAUACGGCCCAGACUCCUACGGGAGGCAGCAGUGGGGAAUAUUGCACAAUGGGCGGAAGCCUGAUGCAGCAACGCCGCGUGCGGGAUGACGGCCUUCGGGUUGUAAACCGCUUUCGCCUGUGACGAAGCGUGAGUGACGGUAAUGUGUAAAGAAGCACCGGCUAACUACGUG
Molecule: ribosomal RNA, 468 nt
Filed under: uncultured bacterium
Lineage: Bacteria
Description: partial 16S ribosomal RNA
Rfam family: Bacterial small subunit ribosomal RNA
Source: RNAcentral